UAGUAAUACUUAGGCAAUCUACCUUCGGUUCCGGGACAUGCGGGUGAAAACCCGUGCAAUACUGGACGUCUUUGCGAGGGGGCAUCUCUUUGCAAAGAAAGCUACGGCGACCGAAGAGGAGCUUAAGUCCUAUCAGGUAGUUGGCGAGGUAACGGCUCACCAAGCCUUUGACGGGUAGGGGGUGUGAGAGCACGAUCCCCACCACUGGCACUGAGACACUGGCCAGACACCUACGGGUGGCUGCAGUCGAGAAUCUUCGGCAAUGGGCGAAAGCCUGACCGAGCGACGCCGCGUGGUGGAUGAAGGCCUUCGGGUUGUAAACACCAAUCCCUGGAGAGCAAUUUU
RNAcentral lists this ribosomal RNA (345 nucleotides) under uncultured Planctomyces sp. RNAcentral's name for it is "bacterial SSU rRNA". It matches the Rfam family "Bacterial small subunit ribosomal RNA", at positions 108 to 453 of the family's 1533-position model. The record is from RNAcentral. Lineage: Bacteria; Pseudomonadati; Planctomycetota; Planctomycetia; Planctomycetales; Planctomycetaceae.